RNAcentral lists this ribosomal RNA (253 nucleotides) under uncultured bacterium. RNAcentral's name for it is "partial 16S ribosomal RNA". It matches the Rfam family "Bacterial small subunit ribosomal RNA", at positions 524 to 776 of the family's 1533-position model. The record is from RNAcentral.
UACAGAGGGUGCGAGCGUUAAUCGGAAUUACUGGGCGUAAAGCGCGCGUAGACGGUUUUGUAAGUCAGGUGUGAAAUCCCCGGGCUCAACCUGGGAACUGCAUUUGAAACUGCAUGGCUAGAGUACGGUAGAGGGAAGUGGAAUUUCCGGUGUAGCGGUGAAAUGCGUAGAUAUCGGAAGGAACACCAGUGGCGAAAGCGGCUUCCUGGUCCAGCACCGACGUUCAGGCACGAAAGCGUGGGGAGCAAACAGG